AAAAAUCUCAUUUGAAUUUUUGGCCAUGUCUUUUCUGCAGGUUGACAAGAAAACAGACAACAAAAGACUGUCAGAACCACAAAACAUCCUCUUCAGAUGCCUGUGGAUUCUCUAUGCACAGCUCACCUACUUGCACUGUGUGCUGGAGAUAAGGCUUGGUCUAAACCAGGAUAAUAUAGUGCUUGGCUGGCUGGUUCUUCCUCACAUGCUGAGGGUCUAACUGAGUGCCAUACCUGGGGUCAAGGAAGGAAUUUCCCCCCAGGUCAGGUUGCUAGUGACAUUAGGUUUUCUUCCACUUUCCUGUGUAGUAUGGAUUGCAGGUCACUUGCUGCGAUUAAUUGGGUAAAUCUCACUCAAUCUUUCCCUUUCUUUAUCUGUGGCACCUAAUAAUCUUGUCUUUUGUGGGCUUGUAAUUCUUUGGUCUAAUUUUGGUCGUUCGGUUUUGUGUGUGGGUGAUGAGUGGUGCUGGUGGCCUGUGAUAUACAGGGAGUCAGACUAGAAGAUCUGGUGGGCCCUUCUGGCCUUAAACGCUAUGACUUCAAUGGGGCCCAGAUGUCACCCCUUAGCUGUUAUUGAUAUUUAAAUAAUUAUAUGAAAUCUUCCACAUUUUCAAUUUUCCACAUGUCCUAUUGAUCAUGCCUAAGAUUUUUAUUGUUAUUUUUCUCUGAUUUAACUCCUUCUUUCUCCUGCUAUUAGAGGGAUCUAUUUAGGCCCUGAUCCUGCAAUGUAGUCUGUGUGGGUGGAUCCAUCAUGCAAAUGAAGCCACAGAGAGGGCAAUAGCCACUGAACAAAUUACCAAGGAAUGUGAUAAAUUCUCCACCACUUGGAGUCUUGACAUUGAAGUUAAUGUUUUUUCUAAAAGUUAUCCUUCAGUUCAACUAGUUACUAGGCUAGAUGCAGGUAUCAUUUGGUGAAAUUGUAUGGCCUGUAGGUACAUCGAUUGGUAAGGCUACGAUAUCAUGGAUCACACUGCAGGAUGAGAGUCAUAAUUUUUAAAGUUGUUUUUACCUCAGCUGUUGUUUCCUGACUGUUUUCUUCUUUAUUUAACACCAUUUGAGUUAGUUUCUAUCAAAUUAAAAUAUUUUGAUGAUUAAAAUUUUGUGUUUA
Molecule: long non-coding RNA, 1107 nt
Organism: Caretta caretta (loggerhead turtle)
Lineage: Eukaryota; Metazoa; Chordata; Testudines; Cheloniidae
Source: RefSeq, a predicted model, not a curated record